Molecule: long non-coding RNA, 1778 nt
Filed under: Salmo salar (Atlantic salmon)
Lineage: Eukaryota; Metazoa; Chordata; Actinopteri; Salmoniformes; Salmonidae
Description: lncRNA (ENSSSAG00000094801.1)
Source: RNAcentral
ACUGACUCAUGCUGGCUGGACCACCCCCACUAACCCCCCAACUGGACCACACUGACUCCUGCUGCCUGGACCACCCCCACUAACCCCCCAACUGGACCACACAGACUCUGCUGCCUGGGCCACCCUCACUGGACCACACUGACUCCUGCUGCCUGGACCACCCCCACUGGACCACACUGACUCAUGCUGCCUGGACCACCCCUACUAACCCCCCAAAUGGACCACACUGACUCAUGCUGCCUGGACCACCCCCACUGGACCACACUGACUCAUGCUGCCUGGGCCACCCCCACUGGACCACACUGACUCAUGCUGCCUGGACCACCCCCACUGGACCACACUGACUCAUGCUGCCUGGACCACCCCCACUAACCCCCCAACUGGACCACACUGACUCAUGCUGCCUGGACCACCCCCACUGGACCACACUGACUCAUGCUGCCUGGACCACCCCCACUGGACCACACUGACUCCUGCUGCCUGGACCACCCCCACUGGACCACACUGACUCAUGCUGCCUGGACCACCCCCACUAACCCCCCAACUGGACCACACUGACUCAUGCUGCCUGGACCACCCCCACUGGACCACACUGACUCAUGCUGCCUGGACCACCCCCACUGGACCACACUGACUCCUGGUACUCUAACUUCCGCGAUGCAUACAAAUCUCUUCCCCGCCUUCCCUCCCUUCGGCAAAUCUGACCACGACGCCAUCUUGCUCAUCCCGGCUUAUAGGCAGAAUCUCAAACAGGUGGUACCAGUGACGAGAACCAUUCAACGCUGGUCUGACCAAUCGGAAGCCACGCUCCAAGAUUGUUUUGAUGACACGGACUGGAAUAUGUUCCGGUCAGCCUCAGAGAACAACAUUGAUCUAUACGCUGACUCGGUGAGUGUGUUUAUAAAUAAGUGCAUUGGAGAUGUCGUACCCACUGUGACUAUUAAAACCUACCCUAACCAGAAACCAUGGAUGGAUGGCGGCAUUUGCAAAAAACUGAAAGCACGAUCCACCGCAUUUAACCAUGGAAAGAGGUCUGGUGAUAUGGCUGAAUAUAAACAUUGUAGUUAUUCCCUCCACAAGGCAAUCAAACAAGCGAAAUGCCGGUACAGGGACAAGGUGGAGGUGCAAUUCAAUGGCUCAGACACCUGACGUAUGUAGCAGGGUCUACAGGAAAUCACAGACUACAAAAACAAAAUCAGCCACGUCACGGAUACCGACGUCACGCUUCCAGACAAACUAAACACCUUCUUUGCCCUCUUUGUGGACAAUACAGUGCCACCGUUGCGGCUCCCUAUCAAAGACUGCACCCCCCUCCUCUCCUUCUCAGUGGCUGACGUGGGGUUUCAGGUGUCUCCGGAAGGUGGUGAUUGACUCCGCUGUCCUGGCGUCGUGAGGGAGCUUGUUCCACCAUUGGGGUGCCAGAGCAGCGAACAGUUUUGACUGGGCUGAGCGGGAACUGUGCUUCCUCAGAGGUAGGGGGGCCAGCAGGCCAGAGGUGGAUGAACGCAGUGCCCUUGUUUGGGUGUAGGGCCUGAUCAGAGCCUGAAGGUAUGGAGGUGCCGUUCCCUUCACAGCUCCGUAGGCAAUCACCAUGGUCUUGUAGCGGCUACCAUUGUUCCUGUACCCAAGAAGGCAAAGAUAACUAAACUAAAUGACUACCACCCCGUAGCACUCACUUCUGUCAUCAUGAAGUGCUUUGAGAGGCUAGUCAAGGAUCAUAUCACCGCCACCUUACCGGUCACCCUAGACCCACUUCAGUUUGCAUACCGCCCCAAUAG